GGUCAAGUGAAGAAGCGCAUACGGUGGAUGCCUUGGCAGUCAGAGGCGAUGAAAGACGUGGUAGCCUGCGAUAAGCUUCGGGGAGUCGGCAAACAGACUUUGAUCCGGAGAUCUCUGAAUGGGGGAACCCACUCAGCAUAAGCUGAGUAUCUUGUACUGAAUACAUAGGUGCAAGAGGCGAACCAGGGGAACUGAAACAUCUAAGUACCCUGAGGAAAAGAAAUCAACCGAGAUUCCCUUAGUAGUGGCGAGCGAACGGGGACUAGCCCUUAAGUGGCUUUGAGAUUAGCGGAACGCUCUGGAAAGUGCGGCCAUAGUGGGUGAUAGCCCUGUACGCGAAAAUCUCUUAGUCAUGAAAUCGAGUAGGACGGAGCACGAGAAACUUUGUCUGAAUAUGGGGGGACCAUCCUCCAAGGCUAAAUACUACUGACUGACCGAUAGUGAACCAGUACCGUGAGGGAAAGGCGAAAAGAACCCCGGAGAGGGGAGUGAAAUAGAUCCUGAAACCGUAUGCGUACAAGCAGUGGGAGCCUACUUUGUUAGGUGACUGCGUACCUUUUGUAUAAUGGGUCAGCGACUUAUAUUCAGUGGCGAGCUUAACCGAAUAGGGGAGGCGUAGCGAAAGCGAGUCUUAAUAGGGCGUUUAGUCGCUGGGUAUAGACCCGAAACCGGGCGAUCUAUCCAUGGGCAGGUUGAAGGUUAGGUAACACUGACUGGAGGACCGAACCGACUACCGUUGAAAAGUUAGCGGAUGACCUGUGGAUCGGAGUGAAAGGCUAAUCAAGCUCGGAGAUAGCUGGUUCUCCUCGAAAGCUAUUUAGGUAGCGCCUCAUGUAUCACUGUAGGGGGUAGAGCACUGUUUCGGCUAGGGGGUCAUCCCGACUUACCAAACCGAUGCAAACUCCGAAUACCUACAAGUGCCGAGCAUGGGAGACACACGGCGGGUGCUAACGUCCGUCGUGAAAAGGGAAACAACCCAGACCGUCAGCUAAGGUCCCAAAGUCAUGGUUAAGUGGGAAACGAUGUGGGAAGGCUUAGACAGCUAGGAGGUUGGCUUAGAAGCAGCCACCCUUUAAAGAAAGCGUAAUAGCUCACUAGUCGAGUCGGCCUGCGCGGAAGAUGUAACGGGGCUCAAACCAUGCACCGAAGCUACGGGUAUCACUUAGGUGAUGCGGUAGAGGAGCGUUCUGUAAGCCUGUGAAGGUGAGUUGAGAAGCUUGCUGGAGGUAUCAGAAGUGCGAAUGCUGACAUGAGUAACGACAAUGGGAGUGAAAAACUCCCACGCCGAAAGACCAAGGUUUCCUGCGCAACGUUAAUCGACGCAGGGUUAGUCGGUCCCUAAGGCGAGGCUGAAAAGCGUAGUCGAUGGAAAACAGGUUAAUAUUCCUGUACUUCUAGUUAUUGCGAUGGAGGGACGGAGAAGGCUAGGCCAGCUUGGCGUUGGUUGUCCAAGUUUAAGGUGGUAGGCUGAGAUCUUAGGUAAAUCCGGGAUCUUAAGGCCGAGAGCUGAUGACGAGUUGCCUUUAGGCGACGAAGUGGUUGAUGCCAUGCUUCCAAGAAAAGCUUCUAAGCUUCAGAUAACUAGGAACCGUACCCCAAACCGACACAGGUGGUUGGGUAGAGAAUACCAAGGCGCUUGAGAGAACUCGGGUGAAGGAACUAGGCAAAAUGGCACCGUAACUUCGGGAGAAGGUGCGCCGGUGAGGGUGAAGGACUUGCUCCGUAAGCUCAUGCCGGUCGAAGAUACCAGGCCGCUGCGACUGUUUAUUAAAAACACAGCACUCUGCAAACACGAAAGUGGACGUAUAGGGUGUGACGCCUGCCCGGUGCCGGAAGGUUAAUUGAUGGGGUUAGCUAACGCGAAGCUCUUGAUCGAAGCCCCGGUAAACGGCGGCCGUAACUAUAACGGUCCUAAGGUAGCGAAAUUCCUUGUCGGGUAAGUUCCGACCUGCACGAAUGGCGUAACGAUGGCGGCGCUGUCUCCACCCGAGACUCAGUGAAAUUGAAAUCGCUGUGAAGAUGCAGUGUAUCCGCGGCUAGACGGAAAGACCCCGUGAACCUUUACUAUAGCUUUGCACUGGACUUUGAAUUUGCUUGUGUAGGAUAGGUGGGAGGCUUUGAAGCGUGGACGCCAGUUCGCGUGGAGCCAUCCUUGAAAUACCACCCUGGCAACUUUGAGGUUCUAACUCAGGUCCGUUAUCCGGAUCGAGGACAGUGUAUGGUGGGUAGUUUGACUGGGGCGGUCUCCUCCUAAAGAGUAACGGAGGAGUACGAAGGUGCGCUCAGACCGGUCGGAAAUCGGUCGUAGAGUAUAAAGGCAAAAGCGCGCUUGACUGCGAGACAGACACGUCGAGCAGGUACGAAAGUAGGUCUUAGUGAUCCGGUGGUUCUGUAUGGAAGGGCCAUCGCUCAACGGAUAAAAGGUACUCCGGGGAUAACAGGCUGAUACCGCCCAAGAGUUCAUAUCGACGGCGGUGUUUGGCACCUCGAUGUCGGCUCAUCACAUCCUGGGGCUGAAGCCGGUCCCAAGGGUAUGGCUGUUCGCCAUUUAAAGUGGUACGCGAGCUGGGUUUAGAACGUCGUGAGACAGUUCGGUCCCUAUCUGCCGUGGACGUUUGAGAUUUGAGAGGGGCUGCUCCUAGUACGAGAGGACCGGAGUGGACGAACCUCUGGUGUUCCGGUUGUCACGCCAGUGGCAUUGCCGGGUAGCUAUGUUCGGAAGAGAUAACCGCUGAAAGCAUCUAAGCGGGAAACUUGCCUCAAGAUGAGAUCUCACUGGAGCCUUGAGCUCCCUGAAGGGCCGUCGAAGACUACGACGUUGAUAGGUUGGGUGUGUAAGCGCUGUGAGGCGUUGAGCUAACCAAUACUAAUUGCCCGUGAGGCUUGACCAU
RNAcentral lists this ribosomal RNA (2891 nucleotides) under Pseudomonas putida. RNAcentral describes it as "23S ribosomal RNA". It matches the Rfam family "Bacterial large subunit ribosomal RNA". The record is from RNAcentral. RNAcentral also lists the same sequence under 1 other name. Lineage: Bacteria; Pseudomonadati; Pseudomonadota; Gammaproteobacteria; Pseudomonadales; Pseudomonadaceae.